RNAcentral lists this ribosomal RNA (460 nucleotides) under uncultured bacterium. RNAcentral's name for it is "SSU rRNA". It matches the Rfam family "Bacterial small subunit ribosomal RNA", at positions 26 to 518 of the family's 1533-position model. The record is from RNAcentral.
AGAAUCAACGCUGGCGGCGUGCCUAACACAUGCAAGUCGAACGAGAAAGUGGAGCAAUCCAUGAGUAAAGUGGCGACCGGGUGAGUAACACGUGACUAACCUACCUUCGAGUGGGGGAUAACCUCGGGAAACCGAGGCUAAUACCGCAUAACAUCGUGAGAUCAAAGCAGUAAUGCGCUGGAAGAGGGGGUCGCGGCUGAUUAGCUAGUUGGCGGGGUAAUGGCCCACCAAGGCGAAGAUCGGUAGCCGGCCUGAGAGGGCGCACGGCCACACUGGAACUGAAACACGGUCCAGACUCCUAAGGGAGGCAGCAGUGGGGAAUUUUGCGCAGUGGGGGAAACCCUGACGCAGCAACGCCGCGUGGAGGAUGAAGUCCCUUGGGACGUAAACUCCUUUCGACCAAGACGAUAAUGACGGUACUGGUGGAAGAAGCACCGGCUAACUCUGCGCCAGCAGCCGC